AAAUGAUAGUUUCUGGAUUUGACCAUAUUAAUGACUUAAGGCUCAUAUUUCUGUGUUUAUUAUAAUUAAGUCUAUGAUUUGAUAUUUGAUAGAGCAGUCUGCAGCAGGCUCGUAAGCAUUCAUUUAAACAGCAGCUCUUAGCAAUGCUGGGAUGCACAGCCCUGUUUAUGACUUCAAGCCUAUCAACUCCCAGAAUUAGGCUGGCAAUACUAAAGUGCCUGUAAGAACAUUCCAAUAGUCAAAGGUAUAUGGAAUACAAAUGGUAUAGAGAGAAAUAGACCUAUGAUUACUCUAAUAACUACAACCUAAAACUUCUUACCUGGGAAUAUUGAAGACUCAUGUUAAAAGGAACCACCAGCUUUCAUAUGUUCUCAUGUUCUGAGCGAGGAACUUAAACGUUAGCUUUUUUACAUGGCACAUAUUGCACUUUUACUUUCUUCUCCAACACUGUGUUUUUGCAUUAUUUAAACCAAAUUGAAAAUGCCUCAUUAUUUAUUUGAGACUAAAUUGAUUUUAGUUAUGUAUUAUAUUAAGUUAAAAUAAAAAAGUGUUCAUUGUUCAUUCAGUAGUGUUGUAAUUAUUACACAUAUAUAUAUAUAUAAAAAAAAAUACAUAAUUAUUAUUAUUUAUUUUUUAAUUCGUCCGAUUAGUCGGUAUUGGCUUUUUUUGGUCCUCCAAUAAAUCAGUAUCGGCGUUGAGAAAUCAUAAUCGGUCGACCUCUACAUUAAACAAAGCCUGUGUGUCCAUGUAUGCUGAUGAUUCAACCACAGACGCAUCAGCAACCACAGCUAAUGAAGUCACUGAAAACCUUAAAGAGUUGAGGUCUGUUUUGGAAUGGGUGGCCAGUAAUAAACUGGUCCUGAACAUCUCUAAAACUAAGAGCGUUGUAUUUGGUACAAAUCCUUCCUAGAGUUCUAGACCUCAGCUGAAUCUGGUAAUGAAUGGUGUGGCUGUUGAACAAGUUGAGGAGACUAAAUUACUUGGCGUUACCUUAGAUUGUAAACUCUAAUGGUCAAAACAUACAGAUUCAAUGGUUGUAAAGAUGGGGAGAGGUCUGGCCGUAAUAAAGGGAUGCUUUGCUUUUUUGACACCACACUGUAAAAAGCAGGUCCUGCAGGCUCUAGUUUUGUCUAAUCUUGAUUAUUGUCCAGUCGUGUGGUCCAGUGCUGCAAGGAAAGACCUAGUUAAGCUGCAGCUGGUCCAGAACAGAGCGGGACGUCUUGCUCGUCAUUGUAAUCAGAGGGCUGAUAUUAAUACUAUGGAUGCCAGUCUCUCUUGGCUAAGAGUUGAGGAAAGACUGACUGCAUCACUUCUUCUUAUAAGAAGUGUCUUUUGUCCUAUAUUUAUAUAUUUAAAAACAUUUACAUUUUUUUAUCCCAGGCCGUCAUUGUAAAUAAGAAUUAGUUUUUAAUUGACUUGCCUAGUUAAAUAAAAAAUAUAUAGAUUGUGUUAGAUCCCACAUUUUUUACAUUGUCAACUACACACAGAUCCGACACACACACUUACCCCACCAGACAUGCCACCAGGGGUCUUUUCACAGUCCCCAAAUACAGAACAAAUUCAAGAAAGCUUACUGUAUUAUUGUCAUUUAGCAGACACUCUUAUCCAUAGCGACUUACAGUAGUGAGUGCAAACAUUUUCAUAGUGAAAAUUAUGAAAUGGAUUAAUUUGCCCAAGUUAAUCAUAAGAUACGAACAAAAUGCAUCAGUGAUUGGAUCAGUGCAACUUCCUGAAAGAGCACAGGGCCCCUGUCUGUCUGUGUGUAGUGCUGCUCUGUAUGUCUGGUCUAUACUCUGUGUGUAGUGCUGCUCUGUGUGUAGUGCUGCUCUGUAUGUCUGGUCUACACUCUCUGUGUUGCUGCUCUGUAUGUCUGGUCUACACUCUGUGUAGUGCUGCUCUGUUUGUCUGGUCUACACUCUGUGUGAUGCUGCUCUAUAUGUCUGGUCUACACUCUGUGUAGUGCUGCUCUGUAUGUCUGGUCUACACUCUGUAUAGUGCUGCUCUGUGUGUAGUGCUGCUCUGUAUGUCUGGUCUACACUCUGUGUUGUGCUGCUCUGUAUGUCUGGUCUACACUCUGUGUGUAGUGCUGCUCUGUAUGUCUGGUCUACACUCUGUGUGUAGUGCUGCUCUGUGUGUAGUGCUGCUCUGUAUGUCUGGUCUACACUCUGUGUGUAGUGCUGCUCUGUAUGUCUGGUCUAUACUCUGUGUGUAGUGCUGCUCUGUAUGUCUGGACUACACUGUGUGUGUAGUGCUGAUCUGUAUGUCUGGUCUACACACUGUGUGUUGUGCUGCUCUGUAUGUCUGGUCUACACUCUGUGCAGCUGUUAGAGAUAAUGCUAAUGAUAACUGUCUUCUGGUAGAGGGAAAGACUUUCCCAAACCUCCUCUAUUAAAUUUUAACUACAAAGUAGCAUAUGCCUACCUGGCAGAAUUAUAGAGAUCAUUUGUUUUGAAAACUCUGCACCAUCACAGAAGCACUACAGAAACACUACUAACCAAACAACAGUGCUAGGUGUCUGUGCUACAGAAACACUGCUAACCAAACAACAGUGCUAGGUGUCUGUGCUACAGAAACACUGCUAACCAAACAACAGUGCUAGGUGUCUGUACUACAGAAACACCGCUAACCAAACAACAGUGCUAGGUGUCUGUGCUACAGAAACACUGCUAACCAAACAACAGUGCUAGGUGGCUGUACUACAGAAACACUGCUAACCAAACAACAGUGCUAGGUGGCUGUACUACAGAAACACUGCUAACCAAACAACAGUGCUAGGUGGCUGUGCUACAGAAACACUGCUAACCAAACAACAGUGCUAGGUGGCUGUGCUACAGAAACACUGCUAACCAAACAACAGUGCUAGGUGGCUGUGCUACAGAAACACCGCUAACCAAACAACAGUGCUAGGUGGCUGUACUACAGAAACACCGCUAACCAAACAACAGUGCUAGGUGGCUGUACUACAGAAACACUGCUAACCAAACAACAGUGCUAGGUGGCUGUGCUACAGAAACACUGCUAACCAAACAACAGUGCUAGGUGGCUGUACUACAGAAACACUGCUAACCAAACAACAGUGCUAGGUGGCUGUGCUACAGAAACACUGCUAACCAAACAACAGUCUCUGGCUGGUGAACACUUGUAUUAAAAGGAAACUACACCCCCCCCCCCCACAACAACAAAAAACAGAAUCGGGCAAAAAAAAUAAGUGAUUUUAUAGGGAGCUAAUAAUAACAACAUCAGCACACCGGCCUGCUAGAUAAUAAUAUUACAACACCCAAGCCUUCACAGUUAUAACACACCUGUUCCCUCUC
RNAcentral lists this long non-coding RNA (3314 nucleotides) under Salmo salar (Atlantic salmon). Its description in RNAcentral is "lncRNA (ENSSSAG00000106303.1)". The record is from RNAcentral. Lineage: Eukaryota; Metazoa; Chordata; Actinopteri; Salmoniformes; Salmonidae.